CCGCUGCCCGAGUCCCUCUUGAAAUGGGCAGGGCAGGGAGGGCGUGGGUACCAGCGCAGGUGCUGGGGUUCAUUUCUUAGGCCUGUGUCAUGGCUAUGACCCUUGGCCGGCUGGGGUGGGGGCUGUGUCUAUGACGCCACCAAGGCCCUGGGUGUCCCCGGGGUCCCUCGGAAUAGGAGGUGGAAACGGGUCGGACAAGAGCUGGCCGUGGGGGAAGAGCAAUGGUGUGCGGAGGUGGGGGAGGCCCUAUCUAGGGACAAGCAGAAAACUUAGGGUGGGCAGAUCCCCCCGACCCCUGUGCAGGGGCUGCCGGAGACCAGAGAGGCUGCUGUGUGACCUGGACCAAGCCCCUUGCCCUCUCAUGCCUCAGUUUCCCCUUCUCUCCACGGAGGGAUUGAGCAGGACAUGGAGGGCCCCUUCCAGUAGCCAUUCUGGGACUCCCUGCACCUGUCCCCAGGGGAGGGUCCUGAGCUGGCCUCCACGUGGCUGCUGUUCCCCAUAGUGGAACCUUGUGUGUGGAGACGGCUGGAAGGUCCCGCUGGAGCAGGGUUCAGCUAGACCUGGUGCUGCCAGGAUGAAGGUUGGACCCUGGGUUAUCCUGACCCUGUCCAAGCAUGUCCCCCGCUGCCCACCAGGUUUGGACGCCGGGCAGUUUUUGUGGCCUCCCUGGUGCUGACCACAGGCCUGGGGGCCAGUGAGGCCCUGGCUGCCAGCUUCCCUACCCUGCUGGUCCUGCGCCUACUCCACGGGGGCACAUUGGCAGGGGCCCUCCUCGCCCUGUAUCUGGCUCG
This 791-nucleotide long non-coding RNA is filed under the name Homo sapiens (human). RNAcentral describes it as "non-protein coding lnc-SLC22A31-6:4". The record is from RNAcentral. Lineage: Eukaryota; Metazoa; Chordata; Mammalia; Primates; Hominidae.